UACGAAGGGGGCUAGCGUUGUUCGGAAUCACUGGGCGUAAAGGGCGCGUAGGCGGCCGAUCAAGUCGGGGGUGAAAGCCUGUGGCUCAACCACAGAAUUGCCUUCGAUACUGUUUGGCUUGAGACCGGAAGAGGUUAGUGGAACUGCGAGUGUAGAGGUGAAAUUCGUAGAUAUUCGCAAGAACACCAGUGGCGAAGGCGGCUGACUGGUCCGGUUCUGACGCUGAGGCGCGAAAGCGUGAGGAGCAAACAGG
RNAcentral lists this ribosomal RNA (253 nucleotides) under uncultured bacterium. Its description in RNAcentral is "partial 16S ribosomal RNA". It matches the Rfam family "Bacterial small subunit ribosomal RNA", at positions 524 to 776 of the family's 1533-position model. The record is from RNAcentral.